Molecule: ribosomal RNA, 253 nt
Filed under: uncultured bacterium
Lineage: Bacteria
Description: partial 16S ribosomal RNA
Rfam family: Bacterial small subunit ribosomal RNA
Source: RNAcentral
UACAGAGGGUGCGAGCGUUAAUCGGAAUUACUGGGCGUAAAGCGCACGUAGUCGGCUUUGCAAGUCGGUCGUGAAAUCCCCGGGCUCAACCUGGGAACUGCAUCCGAGACUGCAUUGCUAGAGUAUGGGAGAGGAAAGCGGAAUUUCUGGUGUAGCAGUGAAAUGCGUAGAUAUCAGAAGGAACAUCAGUGGCGAAGGCGGCUUUCUGGACCAAUACUGACGAUCAGGUGCGAAAGCAAGGGGAUCAAACAGG